UACAGAGGCCUCGAGCGUUAGGCGGAAUCACUGGGCUUAAAGCGUGUGUAGGUGGAUGCUUAAGUACCUUGUGAAAUCCCACGGCUCAACCGUGGAACUGCUCGGUAUACUGCUUUUCUUGAGCCACUUAGGGGCUACCGGAACAAAUGGUGGAGCGGUGAAAUGCGUAGAUAUCAUUUGGAACGCCAAUGGUGAAAACAGGUAGCUGGGAGUGUGCUGACGCUGAGACACGAAAGCCAGGGGAGCGAACGGG
Molecule: ribosomal RNA, 253 nt
Filed under: uncultured bacterium
Lineage: Bacteria
Description: partial 16S ribosomal RNA
Rfam family: Bacterial small subunit ribosomal RNA
Source: RNAcentral